This 668-nucleotide ribosomal RNA is filed under the name uncultured Actinomycetales bacterium. RNAcentral describes it as "bacterial SSU rRNA". It matches the Rfam family "Bacterial small subunit ribosomal RNA", at positions 66 to 748 of the family's 1533-position model. The record is from RNAcentral. Lineage: Bacteria; Bacillati; Actinomycetota; Actinomycetes; Actinomycetales.
ACGGAAAGGCCCUGCUUGCAGGGUACUCGAGUGGCGAACGGGUGAGUAACACGUGGGUGAUCUGCCCUGCACUUCGGGAUAAGCCUGGGAAACAGGGUCUAAUACCGGAUAGGAGCCAUUUUUAGUGUGAUGGUUGGAAAGUUUUUUCGGUGUAGGAUGAGCUCGCGGCCUAUCAGCUUGUUGGUGGGGUAAUGGCCUACCAAGGCGGCGACGGGUAGCCGGCCUGAGAGGGUGGACGGCCACAUUGGGACUGAGAUACGGCCCAGACUCCUACGGGAGGCAGCAGUGGGAAUAUUGCACAAUGGGCGCAAGCCUGAUGCAGCGACGCCGCGUGGGGGAUGACGGCCUUCGGGUUGUAAACUCCUUUCGCUAGGGACGAAGCUUUUUGUGACGGUACCUAGAUAAGAAGCACCGGCUAACUACGUGCCAGCAGCCGCGGUAAUACGUAGGGUGCGAGCGUUGUCCGGAAUUACUGGGCGUAAAGGGCUCGUAGGUGGUUUGUCGCGUCGUCUGUGAAAUUCCGGGGCUUAACUCCGGGCGUGCAGGCGAUACGGGCAUAACUUGAGUACUGUAAGGGUAACUGGAAUUCCUGGUGUAGCGGUGAAAUGCGCAGAUAUCAGGAGGAACACCGAUGGCGAAGGCAGGUUACUGGGCAGUUACUGACGCUG